UUGGAGGGCAAGUCUGGUGCCAGCAGCCGCGGUAAUUCCAGCUCCAAUAGCGUAUAUUAAAGUUGUUGCAGUUAAAAAGCUCGUAGUUGAAUUUCGGGAUCAAUUUAUCGGUCGUGCCUCUGGUAUGCACUGGUAUUAUUGAUUUCUACCUUCUGACGAACCAUGAUGUCAUUAAUUUGGUGUCAUGGGGAAUCAGGACUGUUACUUUGAAAAAAUUAGAGUGUUUAAAGCAAGCACACGCUUGAAUACAUUAGCAUGGAAUAAUGAAAUAGGACGUUUGACCCUAUUUUGUUGGUUUCUAGGAUCGACGUAAUGAUUAAUAGGGAUAGUUGGGGGCAUUAGUAUUCAAUUGUCAGAGGUGAAAUUCUUGGAUUUAUUGAAGACUAACUACUGCGAAAGCAUUUGCCAAGGAUGUUUUCAUUAAUCAAGAACGAAAGUUAGGGGAUCGAAGACGAUCAGAUACCGUCCUAGUCUUAACCAUAAACUAUGCCGACUAGGGAUCGGAUGAUGUUAAUUUUUAAUGACUCAUUCGGCGCCUUACGGGAAAC
RNAcentral lists this ribosomal RNA (548 nucleotides) under uncultured Glomeromycotina. Its description in RNAcentral is "SSU rRNA". It matches the Rfam family "Eukaryotic small subunit ribosomal RNA", at positions 548 to 1098 of the family's 1831-position model. Lineage: Eukaryota; Fungi; Glomeromycota. The record is from RNAcentral.